UCUUCUUCUUCUUCUUGUGCCUGCCUGGUGACCCACGCGCGGCCGGCCACCGGACUGACAGUGACAGCGACAGUAACUCGGCUCUCCGCGGCCAUGCAAAUCAUCAUCACGCAUCUGUGACACGUUCCGAACACCGUGCGUGGACGGAAUCAACGAUCGCGUCGUGACGUCCGUCGCCGCCGCCGCCGCCGGCGCUGGGCAACGGUUUAAAGGACCGUUUUUAUUCCACGCGCUCGCCGAGUGAUUUUUCUCUAUGCUCCGGACUCUCACAGCUCGCGACGGACGCGGCGCGGAUGCUCGUCCGCGAGACGCCGCGGCUCACGUUUCUAGGUCAGGCAUCGACGUCGCGCGUCGCGUGCUCCCGACGCGCGACUCAUGACGACGUCACGGUGCCGCGGCGCUACCGCCUGCGCGCCGCGCUCCCGACACCUGUGCGUCCGCGGCGCUUCGAAGGGUCCCCGAGAAGCGCGCCAAGUGCGGCUUCGCUUCCUGUGCGCGUGCCUGGCUCUCGGCGAGCUCGCGUGGAGCGCGGACAGGCCGUCGGAAAGGCGCCUCGCGCACUUGGACGGCGCGUUCACGUGAAGCGCGCGGCCCCGCCGUCGCCGGCAGACGCCUUAGUUUGCGCGAGUUGUGACGUCAGCGAAGUUGAGAGGGACUCGACCACCUCCGCAGCAGGAUCCGUUCGAGGUCCCGGCCCGGUCCGGGGAGAGGAAGGCUUCCAGGCAACGGUUUCCUUCCCCCACGCUGGCCUCUUGUUCCGGUCCUGCCAUCACCAUGGCGCCACAAAGCUGUCGAUUCCCAUCACCGCGCUUCACUCCGCUUUGCCAAGUGUGACCUGGCCAUCCAGCGCUUCUCAUCGCUGA
This 863-nucleotide long non-coding RNA is filed under the name Scleropages formosus (Asian bonytongue). RNAcentral describes it as "lncRNA (ENSSFOG00015033254.1)". The record is from RNAcentral. Lineage: Eukaryota; Metazoa; Chordata; Actinopteri; Osteoglossiformes; Osteoglossidae.